This 1450-nucleotide ribosomal RNA is filed under the name uncultured bacterium. RNAcentral describes it as "bacterial SSU rRNA". It matches the Rfam family "Bacterial small subunit ribosomal RNA". The record is from RNAcentral.
AGAGUUUGAUCCUGGCUCAGGAUGAACGCUGGCGGUCUGCUUAACACAUGCAAGUCGAACGGAAUCCGAAAGGAUUUAGUGGCGGACGGGUGAGUAACGCGUGAGAAUCUGCCUUCAGGUUGGGGACAACAGCUGGAAACGGCUGCUAAGACCCGAUGUGCCGAGAGGUGAAAGGUUUACUGCCUGAAGAUGAGCUCGCGUCCGAUUAGCUAGUUGGUGGGGUAAGAGCCUACCAAGGCGUCGAUCGGUAACUGGUCUGAGAGGACGACCAGUCACACUGGGACUGAGACACGGCCCAGACUCCUACGGGAGGCAGCAGUGGGGAAUUUUCCGCAAUGGGCGAAAGCCUGACGGAGCAAGACCGCGUGAGGGACGAAGGCUCUUGGGUUGUAAACCUCUUUUCUCAGGGAAGAAACCUGACGGUACCUGAGGAAUAAGCAUCGGCUAACUCCGUGCCAGCAGCCGCGGUAAUACGGAGGAUGCAAGCGUUAUCCGGAAUUAUUGGGCGUAAAGCGUUCGCAGGUGGCUGUUCAAGUCUGCUGUCAAAGACUGGGGCUUAACCCUGGAAAGGCAGUGGAAACUGAGCGGCUAGAGUGCAGUAUGGGUAGAGGGAAUUCCCAGUGUAGCGGUGAAAUGCGUAGAGAUUGGGAAGAACACCGGUGGCGAAAGCGCUCUGCUGGACUGUAACUGACACUGAGGGACGAAAGCUAGGGGAGCGAAAGGGAUUAGAUACCCCUGUAGUCCUAGCCGUAAACGAUGGAUACUAGGCGUUGCCGGGCUCGACCCUGGCAGUGUCGGAGCUAACGCGUUAAGUAUCCCGCCUGGGAAGUACGCACGCAAGUGUGAAACUCAAAGGAAUUGACGGGGGCCCGCACAAGCGGUGGAGUAUGUGGUUUAAUUCGAUGCAACGCGAAGAACCUUACCAGGGCUUGACAUGUCGCGAAUCCCGGUGAAAGCUGGGAGUGCCUUCGGGAGCGCGAACACAGGUGGUGCAUGGCUGUCGUCAGCUCGUGUCGUGAGGUGUUGGGUUAAGUCCCGCAACGAGCGCAACCCUCGUUUUCAGUUGCCAUCAUUAAGUUGGGAACUCUGAAGAGACUGCCGGUGACAAACCGGAGGAAGGUGGGGAUGACGUCAAGUCAGCAUGCCCCUUACGUCCUGGGCAACACACGUACUACAAUGCUGCGGACAGAGGGUAGCAAGCCGGCGACGGCAAGCCAAUCCCGUAAACCGUGGCUCAGUUCAGAUCGAAGCUUGCAACUCAGCUUCGUGAAGGCGGAAUCGCUAGUAAUCGCAGGUCAGCAUACUGCGGUGAAUACGUUCCCGGGCCUUGUACACACCGCCCGUCACACCAUGGGAGCUGGUUUAGCCCGAAGUCGUUACUCUAACCCUUGGGAGGAGGACGCCGAAGGCUGGGCUGGUGACUGGGGUGAAGUCGUAACAAGGUAGCCGU